AACGAACGCUGGCGGCGUGCCUAACACAUGCAAGUCGUGCGAGAAAGUUCCUUCGGGAGCGAGUAAAGCGGCGCACGGGUGAGUAACACGUAGGUAACCUGCCCCCCAGUCUGGAACAACUAGAGGAAACUCUAGCUAAUGCCGGAUGAGACCACGAUCCCUUCGGGGGUUGCGGCCAAAGAUGGCCUCUACUUGUAAGCUAUCGCUGAGGGAUGGGCCUGCGGGCCAUUAGCUUGUUGGUGAGGUAACGGCUCACCAAGGCUGUGAUGGCUAGCUGGUCUGAGAGGAUGACCAGCCACACUGGGACUGAGACACGGCCCAGACUCCUACGGGAGGCAGCAGUGGGGAAUAUUGCGCAAUGGGCGAAAGCCUGACGCAGCGACG
This 384-nucleotide ribosomal RNA is filed under the name uncultured bacterium. RNAcentral describes it as "bacterial SSU rRNA". It matches the Rfam family "Bacterial small subunit ribosomal RNA", at positions 29 to 396 of the family's 1533-position model. The record is from RNAcentral.